UUAAGCGACUAAGCGUACACGGUGGAUGCCCUGGCAGUCAGAGGCGAUGAAGGACGUGCUAAUCUGCGAAAAGCGUCGGUAAGGUGAUAUGAACCGUUAUAACCGGCGAUGUCCGAAUGGGGAAACCCAGUGCAAUUCGUUGCACUAUCGUUAACUGAAUACAUAGGUUAACGAGGCGAACCGGGGGAACUGAAACAUCUAAGUACCCCGAGGAAAAGAAAUCAACCGAGAUUCCCCCAGUAGCGGCGAGCGAACGGGGAGCAGCCCAGAGUCUGAAUCAGCUUGUGUGUUAGUGGAACGGUCUGGAAAGUCCGACGGUACAGGGUGAUAGUCCCGUACACCAAAAUGCACAGGCUGUGAACUCGAAGAGUAGGGCGGGACACGUGGUAUCCUGUCUGAAUAUGGGGGGACCAUCCUCCAAGGCUAAAUACUCCUGACUGACCGAUAGUGAACCAGUACCGUGAGGGAAAGGCGAAAAGAACCCCGGCGAGGGGAGUGAAAAAGAACCUGAAACCGUGUACGUACAAGCAGUGGGAGCACCUUCGGGUGUGACUGCGUACCUUUUGUAUAAUGGGUCAGCGACUUAUAUUCUGUAGCAAGGUUAACCGUAUAGGGGAGCCGCAGGGAAACCGAGUCUUAACUGGGCGUUAAGUUGCAGGGUAUAGACCCGAAACCCGGUGAUCUAGCCAUGGGCAGGUUGAAGGUUGGGUAACACUAACUGGAGGACCGAACCGACUAAUGUUGAAAAAUUAGCGGAUGACUUGUGGCUGGGGGUGAAAGGCCAAUCAAACCGGGAGAUAGCUGGUUCUCCCCGAAAGCUAUUUAGGUAGCGCCUCGUGAAUUCAUCUUCGGGGGUAGAGCACUGUUUCGGCUAGGGGGUCAUCCCGACUUACCAACCCGAUGCAAACUACGAAUACCGAAGAAUGUUAUCACGGGAGACACACGGCGGGUGCUAACGUCCGUCGUGAAGAGGGAAACAACCCAGACCGCCAGCUAAGGUCCCAAAGUCAUGGUUAAGUGGGAAACGAUGUGGGAAGGCACAGACAGCCAGGAUGUUGGCUUAGAAGCAGCCAUCAUUUAAAGAAAGCGUAAUAGCUCACUGGUCGAGUCGGCCUGCGCGGAAGAUGUAACGGGGCUAAACCAUGCACCGAAGCUGCGGCAGCGACACUAUGUGUUGUUGGGUAGGGGAGCGUUCUGUAAGCCUGCGAAGGUGUGCUGUGAGGCAUGCUGGAGGUAUCAGAAGUGCGAAUGCUGACAUAAGUAACGAUAAAGCGGGUGAAAAGCCCGCUCGCCGGAAGACCAAGGGUUCCUGUCCAACGUUAAUCGGGGCAGGGUGAGUCGACCCCUAAGGCGAGGCCGAAAGGCGUAGUCGAUGGGAAACAGGUUAAUAUUCCUGUACUUGGUGUUACUGCGAAGGGGGGACGGAGAAGGCUAUGUUAGCCGGGCGACGGUUGUCCCGGUUUAAGCAUGUAGGCUGGUUGUCCAGGCAAAUCCGGAUAAUCAAGGCUGAGGUGUGAUGACGAGGCACUACGGUGCUGAAGUAACAAAUGCCCUGCUUCCAGGAAAAGCCUCUAAGCAUCAGGUAACAUCAAAUCGUACCCCAAACCGGCACAGGUGGUCAGGUAGAGAAUACCAAGGCGCUUGAGAGAACUCGGGUGAAGGAACUAGGCAAAAUGGUGCCGUAACUUCGGGAGAAGGCACGCUGGUGUGUAGGUGAAGCCCCUGCGGGUGGAGCUGAGACCAGUCGAAGAUACCAGCUGGCUGCAACUGUUUAUUAAAAACACAGCACUGUGCAAACACGAAAGUGGACGUAUACGGUGUGACGCCUGCCCGGUGCCGGAAGGUUAAUUGAUGGGGUUAUCCGUAAGGAGAAGCUCUUGAUCGAAGCCCCGGUAAACGGCGGCCGUAACUAUAACGGUCCUAAGGUAGCGAAAUUCCUUGUCGGGUAAGUUCCGACCUGCACGAAUGGCGUAAUGAUGGCCAGGCUGUCUCCACCCGAGACUCAGUGAAAUUGAACUCGCUGUGAAGAUGCAGUGUACCCGCGGCAAGACGGAAAGACCCCGUGAACCUUUACUAUAGCUUGACACUGAACAUUGAGCCUUGAUGUGUAGGAUAGGUGGGAGGCUUUGAAGCGUGGACGCCAGUCUGCGUGGAGCCAACCUUGAAAUACCACCCUUUAAUGUUUGAUGUUCUAACGUUGGCCCCUUACCGGGGUUGCGGACAGUGUCUGGUGGGUAGUUUGACUGGGGCGGUCUCCUCCCAAAGCGUAACGGAGGAGCACGAAGGUUAGCUAAUCCUGGUCGGACAUCAGGAGGUUAGUGCAAUGGCAUAAGCUAGCUUGACUGCGAGCGUGACGGCGCGAGCAGGUGCGAAAGCAGGUCAUAGUGAUCCGGUGGUUCUGAAUGGAAGGGCCAUCGCUCAACGGAUAAAAGGUACUCCGGGGAUAACAGGCUGAUACCGCCCAAGAGUUCAUAUCGACGGCGGUGUUUGGCACCUCGAUGUCGGCUCAUCACAUCCUGGGGCUGAAGUAGGUCCCAAGGGUAUGGCUGUUCGCCAUUUAAAGUGGUACGCGAGCUGGGUUUAGAACGUCGUGAGACAGUUCGGUCCCUAUCUGCCGUGGGCGCUGGAGAAUUGAGGGGGGCUGCUCCUAGUACGAGAGGACCGGAGUGGACGCAUCACUGGUGUUCGGGUUGUCAUGCCAAUGGCACUGCCCGGUAGCUAAAUGCGGAAGAGAUAAGUGCUGAAAGCAUCUAAGCACGAAACUUGCCCCGAGAUGAGUUCUCCCUGAGACUUUAAGUCUCCUGAAGGAACGUUGAAGACGACGACGUUGAUAGGCCGGGUGUGUAAGCGCAGCGAUGCGUUGAGCUAACCGGUACUAAUGAACCGUGAGGCUUAACCUU
RNAcentral lists this ribosomal RNA (2900 nucleotides) under Klebsiella pneumoniae. Its description in RNAcentral is "bacterial LSU rRNA". It matches the Rfam family "Bacterial large subunit ribosomal RNA". Lineage: Bacteria; Pseudomonadati; Pseudomonadota; Gammaproteobacteria; Enterobacterales; Enterobacteriaceae. The record is from RNAcentral.